AAGCAGAAGCUAUGUGGGGUACCACAACAGCAUUCUUCAUGUCUGCAAGGCCGGGUUUCAUGUAGGGCUCAUCCUCAAAGACAUCAAGGCCAACACGGAACAUGGGAUUUUCCCUCAGAUGCUCAACAAGAGCUACUUCAUCAAUAACAGGCCCCCUACUACAGUUCACAAGUAUUGCUUCCUUCUUCAUCAGUGCCAGCCGUUCUUUGUUCACAAGAUGGUACGUUGUUUUAUCAAGGAUUGGAUGUAGACUUAUCACAUCAGCCUCUUGGAGGACCUCCUCCAUGGAUGAAGCCCUUUUCCAUGUUACAGGUUGUUCACCAUUGGCUUUCAAAAACUGACCAUAGGCUGUCACAAAUUUUUCUAGACGAGUAGAUUGAUAUAGGUCGUAGUAUAUCAAGUUCAUUUUGAAGCCUUCAACCAUCAUUCUAGCAUAAGCAGAUCCAAUACGACCAGCCCCAAUUACGCCAACCGUUUGUCCUUUAAGUAAGUUCCCCACAAACAAAUGUGGAAGCCAUCCUUCAUAUUUUCCAGCUCUCAUGAACUCAUCUGCCUCCACAAUUCUUCUCGCUGCAGCUAAAGAAAGUGAAGCCGCUAACUCUGCUGUAGUCUCUGUCAGUACUCCAGGUGUAUUUCCAACAGCAACACCAUACUUGUUAGCAGCUUCGACGUCAACAUUGUUGUAUCCUACAGCCAUGUUACUAAAAGCUUUCCCACCAGCCUUGCUUAAUGCAGAGAACAGUGUGUCUCCCCAAUCUUCUGUCAACUGGCCAAUGACACCAUCGCACCUAUCUCCAAUAAGAGCAAGAAUGUCAUCAACUGAUAAAAUAGUUUUCUUCUCAGUGCAUAUUUCAAGACGACAAUCUUGUUGAAUGAGAAGAUUAAUCCAUCUAGUCCCAGGCAUAGAUUUUGUGCUGACAACUCUAUAUUUUCCAUUUGGAUUCCACACUUCAAUUUGCACUGGCUUUGCCAUUUCUUCCUCUCUCCUUACUUACUCUAAACUCUAAACUCUCUUGUUUAAAUCAAUAUCAUAUGGUUUCUGUCAUUUU
RNAcentral lists this unclassified non-coding RNA (1049 nucleotides) under Hevea brasiliensis (rubber tree). The record is from RNAcentral. Lineage: Eukaryota; Viridiplantae; Streptophyta; Magnoliopsida; Malpighiales; Euphorbiaceae.